ACCAGUCGCCAACCUCCAGCCCGGCCGAGGUCAUGCCCGCCUGCCCCCAGCGCCGGCGAGGCCCCCUCCCGGUGCCAGGCAGCCCGCCGGAGAAGCGCUGGCAGAGAAGGGGGUCCGUGGCAGAGUUGGCACCCGGACUCACCAGCUUUAGGAAAAGAAUCAUCUUCAAAGGAGAUGCUGGACGUUUUCAUGCUGAUGGAGCCAGCACACCGGCAGCCUGCAGGGAAAGCACCUGGACCACUCAGGAAUAGCUGGGGCCUUGGGGGUAGCAUCCACCUGCUGUUUGUCUCGUGUCUGGUUGUUUCAGCAGUACAUCUGAACUUCAGGACAAAAGAAAGGAUGUUGGACUUCAGCUCACAAUAGCUGCCUGCAUGUUUCUUUUCCAGUAUCUGUUCAAACACCCAAGAACAUUCCAAAAGGAUGCCAGGACAUGAAGGAGACAAGAGUCAGGAUGCAGAAUAGAGCAUUUAGAUUCUUGACGAAGUUGUCCCUAACACAGGAGCAAGGAUGAGCACCUCCUGCCUUUGUAGGAAGGCAGAAGGUAGCUCUGUAUAGGAAUCCAGGCUGGCUUCUCAACCAGAAAGCCUGAAAGAUCCCCCCUGACCCACCGUACACCCUACAUUCUCAUCUUGCUGGGUCUACCUGUGCAGCUAUAGCUCCCAGCAAUGCACCAUGGGACUUGGUGAAGGGAAAGCUAAUUGUGGAGUAAGUCCUAAAAUGCAAAUGAAAUCAGGAGAUUUUUCAUAUGGAUAAUGUGGACCACAUUGUAGUUGUUAUUUGAUGCCAUAUACUAGCAAGCCAACCUAUAACUUAGUGGUCUAAAACAAUGAUACUGACUUGACCAAUCUUUAUUCUUCAGUCAGAACUGGAGAGCCUAGACUGGUUGUCAGCUAAGAGAGCUGGAAGGCUAGGCCAGGGGAUCCUGUGGCUUCUCAUUUGGAUUUUUAUGACUUUAUCUUGGCCUAGGAAGACUGAAAUUCCUGGGGAUAAGAACAGCUGUUAGUUAUUCUGGUAUUAUCCUGUUAGUUAUUUUGCUUGUUGUCAUGAUGAACUUCCUGGUAAGAUGCUACUUAAGGAGCUUACUUGACUUGCUAUUGGAGGUUCUACAGUAUCUCAUGGCAGGUGCAGCAGGUAUGGCUGCACACAUUGCAUCCAUAAUCAGUAAGCAGAAAGUGGACAGGAAAUCCUCAAGGCUUGUCCACAGUGGCCCACUUCCUCCCAGGAGGCUCUGCCUCCUAAAACUCCCAAACCUUCCCACUCGGCACCACCAGCUGGAGACUAAGUGUUCAAAACAAUAAGCCUAUGGGAGAACAUUUUCACAUUCAAACUAUAUCAACCUCCCUGGACAAAUAAUAACAGAAGGCAAAUUUGAGCUUAAUUGAAAAAGAAACACAUAGGCAAUUUAAAAUACUGCACCACAUUUUCAGCAAAAAUGCCAAAUAAAAAUGCACAGACAUAAUCAUGAAAAUUUGUUUGCAUAUAAAAGAUACUUUUAAAACAAUUCUACAAACAUCCAGAGAAAAAUACAAAUGCUACUACUUAGGAUAAAAAUGAAGCACAGUGAGUUGACAAUACAGCCCAAGAAUAGAUGCCCCCAAAGAGCACAGUGUAAGUGGUAUUGGGAGGAAACACGUGUGACCAAAAUGUCAAUUUGUGAAGAUGACGGUGCAAAGAGAAGCAAUCUAAUGAAGAUCUGAUCAAAAGACUCCCUUCUGUACUUUCACGCUAAAGCCAAAAGAUCCUCUCUAAGGAAGCAGCAUGUAAGAGACAAAAAAACUCAUGAAUAGCAGAGACACAUUCAAAAUUAUUGUGACAGUUCCAGACAAACACACCAAAUUAGGUUUUAAAAUGUUGAAAAAAUAUUAGGAUAAAUACAUUUUUUUGCUUUCUUGAGAUUACUAUAAACAAACACAGUAAUUUAUUUGUCUAUGGUUUAAAUGAUGUUGACAGAAAUGUGGGAAAUGGAUGCUCUGAAGAAAGGGGAGGAUUGGUUGGCUUUCCAUUGGUAGAGUGGUUACCUCGGCACACACAGAACCCAAAUGCCAUCCCAGAACCACAAAUACCAUAGAUCCAAGGUCAUCCUCGGCUACAUAGUAAGUUUGGGGUCAGCCAAGGCUACAUGAGGCCUUUCGAGAGGAAGGAAAUUCUUCAUCUUUUCAACGAGGGUGUCAAAGUUUCUGUAUUACUGAUGGGCUCCAUCUCCAUGGCAUACACCUGGAACCCUGUGGAGAGGCAAAGGCAGGACGGCAAGUAUGAGGCCAGCUUGAGCUGCAGCAUAAGCUCGAUCUCAAUAAAGGUUGUAGGCUUGGUAGCCACACAUCUGUAAUCCCAUUGUUAGGAAAGCAGGGGCUUCUAGUUCAGUGCCAGUUUGUGGUACCUGGUGAGUUUCAGGCCAGCCUGGGAUACAUAGAAAGAACUUGUGAGGCGAAAUGGAAGUUAUAUUAUUCAUAAACUUGGCCAUUAGAGAAUCUAUGCACUUAGGAUGAUCAUAAACAAAAAAAUCUUAAAUUCAGCCAAGUGGUGAGGCACAUGCCUUAAAUCUCAGUACUGGGGAGGCAGAUGCAGGUGGAUCUCUUUGAGUUUGAGGCCUGCCUGGUCUACAGAGUGAGUUCCAAGACAGCUUGGAACUAAACAAACAAAAACUAAACAAACAAAUAAAAAUCUUAAAUUCAGGGGCCAGAGAGAUUGGGAGAUUGUACUCUCUGUGAACCUGUGAGGCAUUAUCUUGAUUAUGUGAACCGAUGUAGGGAGUUCCAUCUUAAUAAUGAAAUGGGUAACUUCCUUGGCAGGGGAUGCUGGCCUGAAUGAAGUGGAGAAGGGAAGCUGGUCCCUAGCUUUCAUUAGUCCCUUUCUCUUCCCAGACUGUGAUGCAAUGUGACCAGCUCUCUGAGGCUGAUGCAGCCUUGACUUCCCCACCAGGAUGGACUCUGCCUUGAACUGUAAGCCCAUCCCCACUCCAGCUGCCUUCCUUGGAGUUGUAUCUUAGUUACAUUUCUCUAUUCCCUUUCUUCCCUCCAAAUCUUCCCGUAUAUCUUUCCCCACUUUUCUUCAAAGCCAUGACCUCAUUUUCCAUCAGUUGUGGUAUUUUGUUCCAGCAAUGAGAAAAGAAACCAAGAUGCAUACAAAACUGGGGAAAAUAAAAAUCGAGGGAAUAGUAAGAUAGCACGGUGGGCUUCUGAGUCAGAGACUGAGAUUCAGAAUGCCAUGUUACUCUGUCUCACUAGCUUUUGUCUGGCUGAUACUUAGAGCCUGAGUUAUCUUGUCUGCAAAACGAAGAACUUGGGUCACUCUAGAAAAUAUGCAAAGGCAAACAGAAAACAAAACUGAAAAGUGGAAAAAGCAUAUAAGAGUAAACAGGGGGUCUUUAUUAAUUAUGAAAAUACUAUUUGAGAAACAUCACAUAACUUUGAGAAGCUGAAGCAAAUGAAUGUUUUCAUGACAAAUUGAGCCUGACUCUAAGAGAGGUCAUGAACUUGAUAUCCUCACACAAUGAUUCACCUGUGUCUGCAUUUUUGGAGUUACAGGUGUGCUGCCACCAGAUUUUAUGUGAGUAUUGUUAGUAUUCAGGCAAAUGGGGUUCUGACAGGAUAAGCCCUCAGCUGCAGCCACUAAGAGCACUACCUGUGCAUAUUCACUACGUUCCCUUUCAAAAGGGCCCUGCCUGCCUCCCAUCCUCCUCUCUUUCCCUCUCUCUGUCCGUCUGUUCCCCCUCUUUCUCCUCUCCUCUCUCUCACUCUUUCCUCUCUACUGCUGUUUCUGUCUCCAGAGGCUGGGUUCUCUAACCCUUUUCAUGAUCCCUUUCACUAAUGUGAAUCCCCUCUGCUUGAACCCUGUUGAAUGGUGUCUUUCUCUCACACACAACUUUUCUUAAAUUACAACAUGUACUAGGGAGCUGAACCUGGGCCUUCAUGCUUGUGAAGUAAGCACUUUGCUUAACGACCUCUCUCUCCAGCACAUGACAUAUAAUUUCUAAAAGUUAAAAGCAUACCUUUAAAAAGAAAAAUUGAAACAGUUAACCAGUGGGCAUAUCCUUCUAGAUAUUAAAGCAUCAUCAUCAAUAAAUGGAAUUGAAUAUUACUAACUCAGAGAGUGGCCUGCAGAUCGACAGGAUAGAGCAACCACCCUGAACUAGACUCUAGCAUCAUUCCCAGCUGAGUAAAAGAAACCCAGCAACAGCAAAUUUUUUAAAAAGUGGAGAACGAAAUAAUAUUCAUCAAAUAACUAGGAAAAUUGAUGAGCUCAAACCACAGCCUCACCAUGAUCACAGCCUCAAACCAAACAAUAAAAACAGAUGGAUUAAAGAACCACACAUAGAUGAACCAUUUUUAAAAAUUAAUGGCUCUCUGGUGAAGAAAAGGCAUUCUAAGAAAAAAAAGCCAUGCAAGUAAUUACCAAGGAAACGCUAGACAGAUUUUACUCUGACACCAUUAAAACUGCUAAAUGCUCUACCUCAGGAAAUGUGACUCGAAACAAUCAAAUGACAAAUCAGGAAAAGUUGUUGAAGCAGCAAGGCAGAUGGAGGAUAUCUUUAAAUGAACACAGAAUGCCCUCGUUCAAAUCAAUAAAUAAAAUCCUAAUACUGCAGGGAUAUACAGGCAAGAGCCACCCAGAACAUGGAAAGAAAUGCAAAGUCUAGUACACGUGAAAUAAAAAUGCCCUCAUAACUAAUCAAA
This is a long non-coding RNA of Mesocricetus auratus (golden hamster), 4673 nucleotides long. RefSeq lists it as uncharacterized. The record is from RefSeq and is a predicted model, not a curated record. NCBI's taxonomy places the organism in Eukaryota, Metazoa, Chordata, Mammalia, Rodentia, Cricetidae. The transcript has 2 exons.